RNAcentral lists this unclassified non-coding RNA (224 nucleotides) under uncultured Gammaproteobacteria bacterium. RNAcentral's name for it is "contains 16S-23S intergenic spacer region". Lineage: Bacteria; Pseudomonadati; Pseudomonadota; Gammaproteobacteria. The record is from RNAcentral.
UCCGAGUUGACCCCGGCAGUCUCCCACGAGUCCCCACCAUCACGUGCUGGCAACAUAGGAUAAGGGUCGCGCUCGUUGCGGGACUUAACCCAACAUCUCACGACACGAGCUGACGACAGCCAUGCAGCACCUGUGUUCGAGUUCCCGAGGGCACCAAUCCAUCUCUGGAAAGUUCUCGACAUGUCAAGGCCAGGUAAGGUGGGGAUGACGUGGGAGGAAUUCCA